CGGCGGAGGAGCGCCGCGCAGCCGGCAGAGCCUGCCUGCCUGUGCUGAGGUGCCUGGUCUGAGGCUGGGAACUGCACUGAGAGGGCAUGGGAGUUACGAGGGAAGGGUUCCCACCUCUUUAAUAAUUUUUCCUCCUCGGUGUAUGGUGCUGUUAUUGACCAUGUCCACGAUGGCCACUCCCAAGUUACAUCGGAUCCCGAAGGAAAUGCAGAAUCCCAGUCCACUCAUGAUGGCAAUGAUGUACCUCCGGGGUAGCCCGAAGCAGGACUCUGACCGACACAAGAAGGGAAAGUCAAGCCCUGCCGCCCCGCUGCUUGAACGCACAGCCACCUCGCGUAGCUGAAGUUCACAGCUCCCCCCGCCCCUCC
RNAcentral lists this long non-coding RNA (368 nucleotides) under Gallus gallus (chicken). Lineage: Eukaryota; Metazoa; Chordata; Aves; Galliformes; Phasianidae. The record is from RNAcentral.